RNAcentral lists this ribosomal RNA (206 nucleotides) under Foraminifera environmental sample. Its description in RNAcentral is "partial small subunit ribosomal RNA". It matches the Rfam family "Eukaryotic small subunit ribosomal RNA", at positions 1129 to 1276 of the family's 1831-position model. The record is from RNAcentral. Lineage: Eukaryota; Foraminifera.
ACGCAAGUGUGAAACUUGAAGGAAUUGACGGAAGGGCACCACAAGAACGCGUGGAGCAUGUGGCUUAAUUUGACUCAACGCGGGAAAUCUUACCGGGUCCGGACACACUGAGGAUUGACAGGCAAUAUUAGCAAUUCAUUCGGUCUCUCGGGGCUGUUUUGUGUUGUUAUGUUAAAUAUGCUAGUCCUUUCAUGAUUAUGUGAUAG